This 203-nucleotide ribosomal RNA is filed under the name uncultured Pseudomonas sp. Its description in RNAcentral is "partial 16S ribosomal RNA". It matches the Rfam family "Bacterial small subunit ribosomal RNA", at positions 152 to 355 of the family's 1533-position model. Lineage: Bacteria; Pseudomonadati; Pseudomonadota; Gammaproteobacteria; Pseudomonadales; Pseudomonadaceae. The record is from RNAcentral.
CGAAAGGAACGCUAAUACCGCAUACGUCCUACGGGAGAAAGCAGGGGACCGUUCGGGCCUUGCGCUAUCAGAUGAGCCUAGGUCGGAUUAGCUAGUUGGUGAGGUAAUGGCUCACCAAGGCGACGAUCCGUAACUGGUCUGAGAGGAUGAUCAGCCACACUGGAACUGAGACACGGUCCAGACUCCUACGGGAGGCAGCAGCC